This is a non-coding RNA of Hydractinia symbiolongicarpus, 84 nucleotides long. The record is from the annotation of a RefSeq genome assembly. NCBI's taxonomy places the organism in Eukaryota, Metazoa, Cnidaria, Hydrozoa, Anthoathecata, Hydractiniidae.
GUCAGGAUGGCCGAGUGGUCAAAGGCGCUGCGUUUAGGUCGCAGACUACAUUCGUAGGCGUGGGUUCGAAACCCACUUCUGACA